RNAcentral lists this ribosomal RNA (522 nucleotides) under Triticum aestivum (bread wheat). RNAcentral describes it as "partial small subunit ribosomal RNA". Lineage: Eukaryota; Viridiplantae; Streptophyta; Magnoliopsida; Poales; Poaceae. The record is from RNAcentral.
UCAGGGCUUUGGAGGGCACGGCUUCCCCUCAAAAUCAAGGUUUUCUUUUGGCAACUGUGUUGUGACAAGUUGCCCACUUCUGUGAACAUCGCCAAACGCAACGGGCCGUCCAACGGGGCAUGCACGGUGUGCGGGGAGCCCAAAACAGCUAACCACGUGUUCUUCCAAUGCCACUUGGCCCGGUUUGCGUGGAGUGCGGUCCGGGAGGCCGCUGGCCGGAAUUGGGAUCCUAGGUCAUGUUCUGAGUUAUGCGCUCUCCUGUCGUUGGUCUCUGGUUCCGCUAGACGUGUCAUGUGGUGCUGUGUGGGGGCAUUACUUUGGGCACUUUGGCGCAUUAGGAACAAACUUACGAUCGAGGGCGUCUUUCCCUCACAUCCUGCUGAUGUUAUCUUGAAAUGUGCUAUCUUUUUGCAGCAAUGGGCAUCGCUGGGAAGGCGUCAAGACGCUGAUCUUCUGCAGCUCGCUCUGGCCCGUCUCCGUCAGGUCUACACUUUGGUUAGAGCUCCUGCGCCGCAACCGUAG